Molecule: long non-coding RNA, 254 nt
Filed under: Elaeis guineensis (African oil palm)
Lineage: Eukaryota; Viridiplantae; Streptophyta; Magnoliopsida; Arecales; Arecaceae
Description: long non-coding RNA (EGUI_LNC049228)
Source: RNAcentral
UCUAGCCAGGAUACUACCACCACCACAGGAUCUUUUCAAUACCACUCAUGUUACAGCAAGAAGAUAGAAGAAAUAAAAUAGGAAACACACAAUCAGAUAUGUGGAACAGCCCAAGUACUACCUCCACGGGGCAUGCAAGCUUUACUAAAAGAAAAAAAUAAUACAAGAGGAGAACACCUACUCUAAACUCUCUAUAUACACACCUCUCUCAAUUAGAAGCUACCCUUACAAAAGCUCUCUCAAAAAUUCCCCUA